CCCAGACUCCUACGGGAGGCAGCAGUGAGGAAUAUUGGUCAAUGGACGCAAGUCUGAACCAGCCAAGUAGCGUGCAGGAUGACGGCCCUCCGGGUUGUAAACUGCUUUUAGUUGGGAAUAAAAGGGGGCUCGUGAGCCCCGUAUUGUAUGUACCAUCAGAAAAAGGACCGGCUAAUUCCGUGCCAGCAGCCGCGGUAAUACGUAGGGAGCAAGCGUUAUCCGGAUUUAUUGGGUGUAAAGGGUGCGUAGACGGAGAAGCAAGUUAGUUGUGAAAUCCCUCGGCUUAACUGAGGAACUGCAACUAAAACUACUUCCCUUGAGUACUGGAGAGGAAAGUGGAAUUCCUAGUGUAGCGGUGAAAUGCGUAGAUAUUAGGAGGAACACCAGUGGCGAAGGCGACUUUCUGGACAGUAACUGACGUUGAGGCACGAAAGCGUGGGGAGCAAACAGGAUUAGAUACCCUAGUAUU
RNAcentral lists this ribosomal RNA (469 nucleotides) under uncultured bacterium. RNAcentral describes it as "bacterial SSU rRNA". It matches the Rfam family "Bacterial small subunit ribosomal RNA", at positions 330 to 794 of the family's 1533-position model. The record is from RNAcentral.